RNAcentral lists this ribosomal RNA (1457 nucleotides) under uncultured bacterium. RNAcentral's name for it is "bacterial SSU rRNA". It matches the Rfam family "Bacterial small subunit ribosomal RNA". The record is from RNAcentral.
GCGGCGUGCCUAACACAUGCAAGUCGAACGAGAAAGUUCCUUCNGGGGACGAGUAAAGUGGCGCACGGGUGAGUAACGCGUGGAUGAUCUGCCCAUACGUUUGGAAUAACGGCUGGAAACGGUCGCUAAUACCGGAUACGCUUCUGAUGUAACGAUUGGGGGGAAAGGGGGCCUCUGAAUAUGCUCCCGCGUAUGGAUGAGUCCGCGUCCCAUUAGCUUGUUGGGGGGGUAAAGGCCCACCAAGGCGACGAUGGGUAGCUGGUCUGAGAGGAUGACCAGCCACACUGGGACUGGAACACGGCCCAGACUCCUACGGGAGGCAGCAGUGGGGAAUAUUGCGCAAUGGGCGAAAGCCUGACGCAGCGACGCCGCGUGAGGGAUGAAGGCCUUCGGGUCGUAAACCUCUGUCAGGAGGGAAGAAAGGCGCAGGCGCUAAUCAGCCUGCGAUUGACGGUACCUCCAAAGGAAGCACCGGCUAACUCCGUGCCAGCAGCCGCGGUAAUACGGAGGGUGCGAGCGUUAAUCGGAAUCACUGGGCGUAAAGCGCGCGUAGGCUGUUUUGUAAGUCAGGGGUGAAAUCCCACCGCUCAACGGUGGAACUGCCUUUGAAACUGCGGGACUGGAGUGCGAGAGAGGGUGGCGGAAUUCCAGGUGUAGGGGUGAAAUCCGUAGAUAUCUGGAGGAACACCGGUGGCGAAGGCGGCCACCUGGCUCGUAACUGACGCUGAGGUGCGAAAGCGUGGGUAGCAAACAGGAUUAGAUACCCUGGUAGUCCACGCUGUAAACGAUGGAUACUAGGUGCUGGGGAGUUAUCUUCGGUGCCGGAGCUAACGCGUUAAGUAUCCCGCCUGGGGAGUACGGUCGCAAGGCUGAAACUCAAAGAAAUUGACGGGGGCCCGCACAAGCGGUGGAGUAUGUGGUUUAAUUCGAUGCAACGCGAAGAACCUUACCCAGGCUUGACAUCCGGGGAACCCUCAUGAAAGUGAGGGGUGCCCUUCGGGGAACCUCGAGACAGGUGCUGCAUGGCUGUCGUCAGCUCGUGCCGUGAGGUGUUGGGUUAAGUCCCGCAACGAGCGCAACCCUUGUCUCCAGUUGCCAACGAGUAAAGUCGUGCACUUUGGAGAGACCGCCCCGGUCAACGGGGAGGAAGGUGGGGACGACGUCAAGUCAUCAUGGCCCUUACGCCUGGGGCAACACACGUACUACAAUGGCGCGCACAAAGGGCAGCGAACCCGCGAGGGGGAGCCAAUCCCAAAAAACGCGUCCCAGUCCGGACUGCAGUCUGCAACUCGACUGCACGAAGUCGGAAUCGCUAGUAAUUCGAGAUCAGCAUGCUCGGGUGAAUGCGUUCCCGGGCCUUGUACACACCGCCCGUCACACCACGAAAGUCGGUUUGCCCAAAGCCGGUGAGCCAACUCGCAAGAGGGGCAGCCGUCUACGGUAGGGCCCGAUACUGG